CGGUAUUAUUCAUGACAUUCCUUCGACGUCUUUUGCCCCACGAUUCAACGGAUUCACGUCCCCACUCGCAAACAGCCUGUCAACGAGCAACACGAAACGCUGUUAAACUUUUUCCCCCUUUCGAGUUUCGGCACGCAAGUUUUUAUUACCGGUUCGCAUGGUCCGAGACAGUACUUGACGUUACAUUGGAAGAUGACACCAUAAGAUUCCGUGAACCUGAAGGCUUCGUAGACCGAUUGAAGGGCGUUACCGUCUGGCGUGAAGCUCGGGAAUAUGGAGGGAUCCACUGGACAUCUAAAAUUACAUCGUUCCGUGAGAUCCCUUUUAGAUAGAUCAGUUUCGAUCGAGCAAAAAAUACUAACCCUUCGUCGUCGAUUAUUUGGAAGGUGCUCUUAGAGUCCUUGGCCAUAGCAACGCAGCUGCGAGCAAAGAUUCCGUAAGUUUCCACUUCUCUUGAUCUGCUAUCGAGAAUACGUAUCCUUGGUGGUGGUGCCUCGGGCGCACUAGUGAUGCUAAUCAUUUCCGGAUCUCUGAUAGGCAUCAUCCCGAAAGUGAUGUUCUUCGAUGACAUAUCAUGCCAGUCUGAAAACCGUCACGCUGCCAUGAUGAACAGAGAGUUUGAGGAAAAUUUUGGGAUACGAAAUUAAAUUUCCGUGAGAUUUAUUAUUUUUUUCUUCUUUUUCGUUCUUUUUCCUUUUCUUUUUUUUUAAUCUUUUGCCAUACAUGAAAGAUACUUAC
Molecule: long non-coding RNA, 738 nt
Organism: Vespula vulgaris
Lineage: Eukaryota; Metazoa; Arthropoda; Insecta; Hymenoptera; Vespidae
Exons: 4
Source: RefSeq, a predicted model, not a curated record